Molecule: ribosomal RNA, 258 nt
Filed under: Paenibacillus amylolyticus
Lineage: Bacteria; Bacillati; Bacillota; Bacilli; Caryophanales; Paenibacillaceae
Description: partial 16S ribosomal RNA
Rfam family: Bacterial small subunit ribosomal RNA
Source: RNAcentral
CGCUUGGGAGAGUAACUGCUCUCAAGGUGACGGUACCUGAGAAGAAAGCCCCGGCUAACUACGUGCCAGCAGCCGCGGUAAUACGUAGGGGGCAAGCGUUGUCCGGAAUUAUUGGGCGUAAAGCGCGCGCAGGCGGUCAUUUAAGUCUGGUGUUUAAUCCCGGGGCUCAACCCCGGAUCGCACUGGAAACUGGGUGACUUGAGUGCAGAAGAGGAGAGUGGAAUUCCACGUGUAGCGGUGAAAUGCGUAGAUAUGUGG